AAUGGUGAUAAAACAGAUAAUGUUCUUAUUCUUUUCGGAAAUUCACAAUGAACUAAACUGGUAUCUUGAAUGAGAAAGCAUUCAAAAUAUUUUUCUGCUGUGCAAGAUCACCGAGUGACUUCAAGUUAUUCAUCCUGAAUGAUUUAAUACAUUUUAUAAUGUUUUGGCUUACGAGAUCGCUAUUAAAGUUAUGAGUCAACUAGGA
Leptinotarsa decemlineata (Colorado potato beetle) is the source of this 205-nucleotide long non-coding RNA. The record is from RefSeq and is a predicted model, not a curated record. Lineage: Eukaryota; Metazoa; Arthropoda; Insecta; Coleoptera; Chrysomelidae.